Molecule: ribosomal RNA, 229 nt
Filed under: uncultured bacterium
Lineage: Bacteria
Description: partial 16S ribosomal RNA
Rfam family: Bacterial small subunit ribosomal RNA
Source: RNAcentral
UGCGUAGGUGGUUUUGUAUGUCGGAUGUGAAAGCCCACGGCUCAACCGUGGAAUUGCAUCCGAAACUGCGAAGCUCGAGUGCAGGAGGGGAGAGCGGAAUUCUUGGUGUAGCGGUGAAAUGCGUUGAUAUCAAGAAGAACACCGGUGGCGAAGGCGGCUCUCUGGAAUGUUACUGACACUGAGGCACGAAAGUUGGGGUAGCAAACAGGAUUAGAUACCCUGGUAGUCC